UGGCUCAGUGGAUAGAGCAUCAGCCUGCAGACUGAAGGGUCCCAGGUUCGAUUCCUGG
This 58-nucleotide transfer RNA is filed under the name Myotis brandtii (Brandt's bat). It matches the Rfam family "tRNA", at positions 8 to 63 of the family's 71-position model. Rfam says of the family: Transfer RNA (tRNA) molecules are approximately 80 nucleotides in length. Lineage: Eukaryota; Metazoa; Chordata; Mammalia; Chiroptera; Vespertilionidae. The record is from Rfam by way of RNAcentral.